GAAGCUGAUGGGGAAACUGGCGAGCCUCUCUUCGGAACCCUCCCCAGACCUCCGCCCACGAGGACCCGCCCGAGCGCUCACUAGAGGAAACCGAGCCCCACCGGGUCGUGCGUCAUAACAUUCAGACUGUAAAUAUGAAAAUGCAGUCCACGGAAGAGUGGUUUUCAACCUUCCUAAAUGUGGUGGCCCUCUAAGACUGUUCCUCAUGUCACGGUAGUAGAGACUGUGGGCUGGAUCAGAAGUUCGGUGCAGAGUUGGGAAGCCGUGAGCAGGCAGGCCUGCUCCAAGCCAGUGUCUGCUCACUGCCUCCAGCUCAUUCCCUCUGAUAAGGGAAGUUCCCACAAAGCUGCCCUUCCUCUCCAACUGGGAGCAGACAGCUCCAUGGAAACCUGAAGUGGGAACUUUGUUUACCGCCUUAGACCCUGGGUGGCAGAGAGCUUGGCCUUAUGGACACACUCAGCCAUCCUUCCCUCCUCACAGCAGCUGCCCUGAGACCCAUCACUUCCCGUCAAUCCACAGGAUGGGUCCCAAACCAGAGCCUUCCAUACGUCUCCCCCAUUGAGGUAAAAGGACAGGAAGUUCUUCUGUCUUCACAUAAAUAAGGCCCCAACACCACAAAGGCGAUGUAUUGGUCUUGCCAGUUCCUGAAGACGUUAACUGAAAAGGAAAUGCUCCUGAACUCUCCUCCGUGGACAAGAUGGCAGAGAAGCAGCGGCCAUCUCAGAUCACCAGACAGCUUACACAUGGGAGACAGUAUAAAGGAGCUUGAGUUCCUGUGGGAUUUAGUGCCACCAGCCCUGGACCUCACUGGGAAAGAGAAGAAUGAAUGCUCUUCCAUUUCUUGUCUGGUUGUUUGCUUGUUUAUUGUUUGUUGCUGUUUGGUUUUCAAAGGUUUUACAGAUUUCUUUCCUUUUGGGUUAGUUUGAGGGUCUGGGGGAUUUUGUUCUGUUUUUGUAACAGGGUUGUCCUGUAGCCCUGUAGCCCAGGCCAGCCCCAAACUCACAAAUCUCAA
Molecule: long non-coding RNA, 1012 nt
Organism: Peromyscus leucopus (white-footed mouse)
Lineage: Eukaryota; Metazoa; Chordata; Mammalia; Rodentia; Cricetidae
Exons: 3
Source: RefSeq, a predicted model, not a curated record